GAACGCUAGCUACAGGCUUAACACAUGCAAGUCGAGGGGCAGCAUGGUCUUAGCUUGCUAAGGCCGAUGGCGACCGGCGCACGGGUGAGUAACACGUAUCCAACCUGCCGUCUACUCUUGGACAGCCUUCUGAAAGGAAGAUUAAUACAAGAUGGCAUCAUGAGUCCACAUGUUCACAUGAUUAAAGGUAUUCCGGUAGACGAUGGGGAUGCGUUCCAUUAGAUAGUAGGCGGGGUAACGGCCCACCUAGUCUUCGAUGGAUAGGGGUUCUGAGAGGAAGGUCCCCCACAUUGGAACUGAGACACGGUCCAAACUCCUACGGGAGGCAGCAGUGAGGAAUAUUGGUCAAUGGGCGAGAGCCUGAACCAGCCAAGUAGCGUGAAGGAUGACUGCCCUAUGGGUUGUAAACUUCUUUUAUAAAGGAAUAAAGUCGGGUAUGCAUACCCGUUUGCAUGUACUUUAUGAAUAAGGAUCGGCUAACUCCCUGCCAGCAGCCGCGGUAAUACGGAGGAUCCGAGCGUUAUCCGGAUUUAUUGGGUUUAAAGGGAGCGUAGAUGGAUGUUUAAGUCAGUUGUGAAAGUUUGCGGCUCAACCGUAAAAUUGCAGUUGAUACUGGAUAUCUUGAGUGCAGUUGAGGCAGGCGGAAUUCGUGGUGUAGCGGUGAAAUGCUUAGAUAUCACGAAGAACUCCGAUUGCGAAGGCAGCCUGCUAAGCUGCAACUGACAUUGAGGCUCGAAAGUGUGGGUAUCAAACAGGAUUAGAUACCCUGGUAGUCCACACGGUAAACGAUGAAUACUCGCUGUUUGCGAUAUACGGCAAGCGGCCAAGCGAAAGCGUUAAGUAUUCCACCUGGGGAGUACGCCGGCAACGGUGAAACUCAAAGGAAUUGACGGGGGCCCGCACAAGCGGAGGAACAUGUGGUUUAAUUCGAUGAUACGCGAGGAACCUUACCCGGGCUUAAAUUGCAGAUGAAUUACGGUGAAAGCCGUAAGCCGCAAGGCAUCUGUGAAGGUGCUGCAUGGUUGUCGUCAGCUCGUGCCGUGAGGUGUCGGCUUAAGUGCCAUAACGAGCGCAACCCUUGUUGUCAGUUACUAACAGGUUCCGCUGAGGACUCUGACAAGACUGCCAUCGUAAGAUGUGAGGAAGGUGGGGAUGACGUCAAAUCAGCACGGCCCUUACGUCCGGGGCUACACACGUGUUACAAUGGGGGGUACAGAGGGCCGCUACCACGCGAGUGGAUGCCAAUCCCCAAAACCUCUCUCAGUUCGGACUGGAGUCUGCAACCCGACUCCACGAAGCUGGAUUCGCUAGUAAUCGCGCAUCAGCCACGGCGCGGUGAAUACGUUCCCGGGCCUUGUACACACCGCCCGUCAAGCCAUGGGAGCCGGGGGUACCUGAAGUGCGUAACCGCGAGGAGCGCCCUAGGGUAAAACUGGUGAC
Molecule: ribosomal RNA, 1440 nt
Filed under: uncultured organism
Description: 16S ribosomal RNA
Rfam family: Bacterial small subunit ribosomal RNA
Source: RNAcentral